GGAGAGAAAGAAGAAUAGAGGCGGAA
This 26-nucleotide non-coding RNA is filed under the name Rattus norvegicus (Norway rat). The record is from RNAcentral. Lineage: Eukaryota; Metazoa; Chordata; Mammalia; Rodentia; Muridae.